Prosopis cineraria is the source of this 2713-nucleotide RNA transcript. RefSeq lists it as uncharacterized. Lineage: Eukaryota; Viridiplantae; Streptophyta; Magnoliopsida; Fabales; Fabaceae. The record is from RefSeq and is a predicted model, not a curated record. The transcript has 7 exons.
CCGCAGAAAAAAGUCAGAAAUAUCAAACCCUAGUUAACCCCUUAAAGCAGCUUCGACGCCAUGGCCUCCAAAUCCCCUGAGCAUAGAGUAUUGAUCGGACUUCAACUGAAUCAGCUAUCACCUGCUUCAUUCCCUUACUCUGAAGUCUGAAGACCGGGCAGCGUCCACCUCGUCCUCUUUUCGUUCUUCGUGAACGUUCUGUCAGGUGGCGGCUUAUUUCUUAUAGUAUCUUCCCCAGCAGGCCUGGGUUGUGUACAGCUCGGCGUCCUACCUUUCGACAAGCACCGUUUGCUGACGUCGUGGGGUAUGAUUUUUUACGGGUUUCUUUUCCCAAAAAUUUUUCCUUUCCGUACUGGGCACCCAACGAUUUCAGGUCCCGGAUGUCGGAAAAUGCUGAGUUUUCUGAACUUGUUUUUAAACACUCCACUUGGAUGCUUUUCUCGUCUGUCUUAUGUAUAGUUAUUUAUCCACUUUGAGCUUACCUGGUUUUGAGUAUCUGCUGAUCCUUUAAUCUCAAACUGACCCUCAGCUACUUCUUCUUUGCAACUUAGAGUUUUUCAUGUUCGGGGUUAAAAUGCAUACAGUUUUUUUCCCUGGGGGUAGCAAGAGGAAAAGAAAAUGGCUUUGUACUGUAUUACGCAGCAGAUUGAGGUGGGGAGUGCAAUAUAGUUUUUUCUUAUAUGGAAGAAAGAAAUCCAAUUUUUAUAGUUUCCAGACUUUUCAAUUGCUUUCCACCUCAUUCAUAUUGCAGCCUUGUUUUCUCUUUUCACUUCUCAAAUGACUAGCACUAUAUUCUGUCACGAGUCCCACAUCAGGAGACCAUAUUGGUGGAGUGUGUAUUAUAAAUCACCCUUCUCUUAUGAGGUACCUUUUGGGGGCGAGUUCUACCUAAAGGGUUUGGGGUCGUGACAUUGGUGCUGAGAGUUGCCGUUCACGGAAAGACUGCCCAUAGAGGGGCUGACUAGUUGAAGGCUAAAUGAAGUGCCGUGGAGUGUGAGCUGUCGCGGAUGCCGGCUUUUGAGGGGUGGGCUAUGUCAUGAGUCUCACAUCACGAGGCCACAUUGAUGGAGUGUAGUUUAUAAGUCAACCGGGCAUCCUCUUCCUACGAGGUGCCUUUUGGAGGUGAGUUCUACUUAGAGAGCUUGUGGUCGUGACAUUGAAAAUUUCAAAAGACUAGCCUGUUGGAUGGGAGAUUUACUUACACUUAAGAGGCUCCCUGAUGUGGGAUUUGUGAGAAUGCCACACCGUUAAGAGCUGACAUCCCCGACGGCUUCACUCCACGGCAUUUCACUCGGCCUUUGACUGGUCAGAACUCUUAGCCCUUUCUGUGACAUUGGCCUCUCAAUGAAAGCACCAAUAUAACGAGCACAAGUCUACAAGGAGAGCCCAUCCCAAAAGACUAGCUUGUUGGUUGGGAGAUCCCCUCACUCUUAUAAAUCCCACACCACUUGUUAGGUUCCUCAAUGUGAGACUCGUGACAUUCCCAACUUGUAGUCUAAAUCUAUGAUUCGUUCCUGUUGCGAUUCCUUCAUUUUUCUUUCUUUUUUCCUUCUUGUUUUGCUAAAGAUUUCACAGUUUGGAAGGCAUAGUUGGGCAAAGAGUAGCUUCGCUUCUGCUCCACAAAACAGGAGUAGUAGCAAUGGAGGGGUUGAAGGUGUCAGAUGCUAAUCUAGUCGUAUAUGUUCAUCCUUCAAAAAGUAAAAAAGUUCCCCAAGCAGUUCUCAAUGAGCUCAGCACUUUGCUUUUCACGUUCAGUGAAAUCUUUGAUGGGGUUGUGUUAGCCUAUGAUAUCAACCUCCUUGAUAAAUGUGCAAAAAUUCUUUCUGGAGUUCAUCCUUAUUUUGAUGUUAAACUAAAUGCGAAAUUGUUACUUUUUUCUCCAAAGCCGGAUAUGCUUUUAGAAGGGAAGGUGGUUAAGCUCACACAAGAAUCUAUUCAUGCCAUUGUGCUCGGCUUUUCUUCUGCAAUAAUAGUUGACAAAGACAUUAGGGAAGAGUUCUCAUACAAAAUUAAACGUGGACAAGGUAGAUAUACAAGCAGAUUGCAUAAGCAGCAUGUGAUAAAGGUUGGAACCAUGAUACGCUUUCAAGUCAAGAGCUUUGAUGAGGAAAUACUUCAUGUUUUUGGAUCCCUGAAGCCAGAUACCACUGGCAGUAUUCAUUGGUUAGACAAGAACUUGGAAGAUGUUUCCCAAAGUGACAGAAGUGCAAAGAAGAGAGAAAAUGGGGGAGAACCACUAAUCCCAGAGCAAAAUGCUAUGGUUGAGGAACCAAUUUCCUUGGACAAUGCACACGAGAAAAGGCCAAAGAAACAAAGAAUUAAAGAGGAAUCAUGAAGUUGAAAGUAGCUUUGGAAUCCUAUUCUGUAUGUAUUUUGUUUUCCCAGGGCUUUCACAUUAUUUUGCAGCUUGACCACUGUCUAGUGCCCUAGAAGUAGCAGCUUCAUGAGCCACUGAUAAACAUGAAAAGUGGAGAGAAAGAGUCCAAGAAAUCUCAACACGGCCUUGGGUUAGUUUUGCUCUUAUACGUCGACAGAUUUAUUGACAAGCAUGAAAACUCAAAUUUGUUGAGCCUUGUAAUCCGUGUUCGGCAUCAAUUUGUACCCAAGAUUAUGUAUCCUAUUGACUGCCGACAUUUUAUUUAUUUACAUGUGUAUCCCGAAAUGGCUCCAACAGUUUAGGGUCUGUUUGGAUUUCAAUUGGGUAUAAUAAAUU